GACGAACGCUGGCGGCGUGCUUAACACAUGCAAGUCGAACGGUAAGGCCCUUUCGGGGGUACACGAGUGACGAACGGGUGAGUAACACGUGGGUGAUCUGCCCUGCACUUUGGGAUAAGCCUGGGAAACUGGGUCUAAUACCGGAUAGGACUACGCGAUGCAUGUCGUGUGGUGGAAAGCUUUUGCGGUGUGGGAUGGGCCCGCGGCCUAUCAGCUUGUUGGUGGGGUGAUGGCCUACCAAGGCGACGACGGGUAGCCGGCCUGAGAGGGUGUCCGGCCACACUGGGACUGAGAUACGGCCCAGACUCCUACGGGAGGCAGCAGUGGGGAAUAUUGCACAAUGGGCGCAAGCCUGAUGCAGCGACGCCGCGUGGGGGAUGACGGCCUUCGGGUUGUAAACCCCUUUCAGCACAGACGAAGCGUAAGUGACGGUAUGUGCAGAAGAAGCACCGGCCAACUACGUG
RNAcentral lists this ribosomal RNA (464 nucleotides) under uncultured bacterium. RNAcentral describes it as "partial 16S ribosomal RNA". It matches the Rfam family "Bacterial small subunit ribosomal RNA", at positions 28 to 507 of the family's 1533-position model. The record is from RNAcentral.